This 336-nucleotide RNase P RNA is filed under the name Lachnospira sp. RNAcentral describes it as "RNase P RNA component class A". It matches the Rfam family "Bacterial RNase P class A". Rfam says of the family: Ribonuclease P (RNase P) is a ubiquitous endoribonuclease, found in archaea, bacteria and eukarya as well as chloroplasts and mitochondria. Lineage: Bacteria; Bacillati; Bacillota; Clostridia; Lachnospirales; Lachnospiraceae. The record is from RNAcentral.
CAGGUCGGACAAAUGAUUGCGGCUGUCUUAGGCAGGUGAGGAAAGUCCGGGCUUCAUAGGGCAGGGUGCCGGAUAACGUCCGGUAGAGGUAACUCUCAGGCUAGUGCAACAGAAAAGAACCGCCAUUUUUGGUAAGGGUGAAACGGCGAGGUAAGAGCUCACCGCCAUUUUGGUAACAAAAUGGGCAGAUGUAAACCCCACUCGAAGCAAGACCAAGCAGAGAACUAUGCGGCUGCCCGUCGCGUUCUCAGGUAGGUCGCUUGAGCUGGCUGGUAACAGUCAGCCUAGAUAGAUAAUCAUUCACGACAUAACCCGGCUUAUCGUCUGGCCUGAUAU